This 478-nucleotide ribosomal RNA is filed under the name uncultured cyanobacterium. RNAcentral's name for it is "bacterial SSU rRNA". It matches the Rfam family "Bacterial small subunit ribosomal RNA", at positions 355 to 847 of the family's 1533-position model. The record is from RNAcentral. Lineage: Bacteria; Bacillati; Cyanobacteriota.
UGGGGAAUUUUCCGCAAUGGGCGAAAGCCUGACGGAGCAAUACCGCGUGGGGGAUGACGGCCUAUGGGUUGUAAACCUCUUUUUUCAGGGAGGAAUCAAUGACGUGUACCUGAAGAAUAAGCAUCGACUAACUCCGUGCCAGCAGCCGCGGUAAGACGGAGGAUGCAAGUGUUAUCCGGAAUCACUGGGCGUAAAGCGUCUGUAGGUUGUUCAAUAAGUCAACUGUUAAAUCUUGAGGCUCAACUUCAAAAUCGCAGUCGAAACUAUUAAACUAGAGUAUAGUAGGGUAAAGGGAAUUUCCAGUGGAGCGGUGAAAUGCGUAGAGAUUGGAAAGAACACCAAUGGCGAAAGCACUUUACUGGGCUAUUACUGACACUGAGAGACGAAAGCUAGGGUAGCAAAUGGGGUUAGAUACCCCAGUAGUCCUAGCCGUAGACGAUGGAUACUAGAUGUUGAACAGAUCGACCUGUGCAGUAUC